AUUCAAACAUUUGCCAAAAUUGCAUGCUUCCUACUUCUCAUAUUACGUGCCGAAAUUUUACAUAGAUCUAUAUACAUUCAUAUUUGAACAAAUUUAAGUCACUUAAUAUGGGACGGAAGAAGUAUGUUAUUUUACCGUCGCGUUAGCUGACGUG
Molecule: non-coding RNA, 154 nt
Organism: Brachypodium distachyon (stiff brome)
Lineage: Eukaryota; Viridiplantae; Streptophyta; Magnoliopsida; Poales; Poaceae
Source: RefSeq, marked provisional